AGUGAAGCGGGAUGAAGCUCAAAUUUAAAAUCUGGCUGGUUUACUAGUCCGAAUUGUAGUUUAAAGAAGCGUUUUCGGUGGCAGUCUCGGUAUAAAUCCUUUGGAAUAGGGUAUCAUAGAGGGUGAGAAUCCCGUCUUUGACUGAGAAUUUGCUACUAUGUGAUACGUUUUCAAAGAGUCGAGUUGUUUGGGAAUGCAGCUCAAAAUGGGUGGUAAAUUUCAUCUAAAGCUAAAUAUUGGCGAGAGACCGAUAGCGAACAAGUACCGUGAGGGAAAGAUGAAAAGAACUUUGAAAAGAGAGUUAAACAGUGCGUGAAAUUGUUGAAAGGGAAACGCUUGAAACCAGUCAUGUGGUUGGAAAAUCAGUGUUCAAUUGGGGGGAAUGGGGGAGGUGUGGACCGCAAGGCUGCUCUUUUCUAUAUCUCUUUUGUUGGGCAUGCACUUUUUCUUCUGCAGGUCAACAUCAGUUUCUUUUGCUGGACAAAACUCUUGAGAAGGUAGCAGCUUAGGCUGUGUUAUAGCUCUGGAGCGAUACAGUGGAGGAGACUGAGGUUUUCGCAGCAUGUGCUCUCGGGCAAGGCCAGUUGGGUGCUAUGGGAUCGUUCGGGGUACAAUACAUGUAUUUUGCCUCGUGUCUUUUCUAUACUCGUUCAGUUGUGCUCUUCCAUGCUUAGGAUGUUGACUUAAUGGUUUUAAUCGACC
This 702-nucleotide ribosomal RNA is filed under the name Entomortierella basiparvispora. RNAcentral describes it as "eukaryotic LSU rRNA". It matches the Rfam family "Eukaryotic large subunit ribosomal RNA", at positions 92 to 649 of the family's 3401-position model. The record is from RNAcentral. Lineage: Eukaryota; Fungi; Mortierellomycota; Mortierellomycetes; Mortierellales; Mortierellaceae.